RNAcentral lists this ribosomal RNA (1372 nucleotides) under uncultured bacterium. RNAcentral's name for it is "bacterial SSU rRNA". It matches the Rfam family "Bacterial small subunit ribosomal RNA", at positions 28 to 1381 of the family's 1533-position model. The record is from RNAcentral.
GAUGAACGUUGGCGGCGUGCCUAAUACAUGCAAGUCGAGCGAACAGAUAAGGAGCUUGCUCCUUUGACGUUAGCGGCGGACGGGUGAGUAACACGUGGGUAACCUACCUAUAAGACUGGGAUAACUUCGGGAAACCGGAGCUAAUACCGGAUAAUAUUUCGAACCGCAUGGUUCGAUAGUGAAAGAUGGUUUUGCUAUCACUUAUAGAUGGACCCGCGCCGUAUUAGCUAGUUGGUAAGGUAACGGCUUACCAAGGCGACGAUACGUAGCCGACCUGAGAGGGUGAUCGGCCACACUGGAACUGAGGCACGGUCCAGACUCCUACGGGAGGCAGCAGUAGGGAAUCUUCCGCAAUGGGCGAAAGCCUGACGGAGCAACGCCGCGUGAGUGAUGAAGGUCUUCGGAUCGUAAAACUCUGUUAUUAGGGAAGAACAUACGUGUAAGUAACUGUGCACGUCUUGACGGUACCUAAUCAGAAAGCCACGGCUAACUACGUGCCAGCAGCCGCGGUAAUACGUAGGUGGCAAGCGUUAUCCGGAAUUAUUGGGCGUAAAGCGCGCGUAGGCGGUUUUUUAAGUCUGAUGUGAAAGCCCACGGCUCAACCGUGGAGGGUCAUUGGAAACUGGAAAACUUGAGUGCAGAAGAGGAAAGUGGAAUUCCAUGUGUAGCGGUGAAAUGCGCAGAGAUAUGGAGGAACACCAGUGGCGAAGGCGACUUUCUGGUCUGUAACUGACGCUGAUGUGCGAAAGCGUGGGGAUCAAACAGGAUUAGAUACCCUGGUAGUCCACGCCGUAAACGAUGAGUGCUAAGUGUUAGGGGGUUUCCGCCCCUUAGUGCUGCAGCUAACGCAUUAAGCACUCCGCCUGGGGAGUACGACCGCAAGGUUGAAACUCAAAGGAAUUGACGGGGACCCGCACAAGCGGUGGAGCAUGUGGUUUAAUUCGAAGCAACGCGAAGAACCUUACCAAAUCUUGACAUCCUUUGACAACUCUAGAGAUAGAGCUUCCCCCUUCGGGGGACAAAGUGACAGGUGGUGCAUGGUUGUCGUCAGCUCGUGUCGUGAGAUGUUGGGUUAAGUCCCGCAACGAGCGCAACCCUUAAGCUUAGUUGCCAUCAUUAAGUUGGGCACUCUAAGUUGACUGCCGGUGACAAACCGGAGGAAGGUGGGGAUGACGUCAAAUCAUCAUGCCCCUUAUGAUUUGGGCUACACACGUGCUACAAUGGACAAUACAAAGGGCAGCGAAACCGCGAGGUCAAGCAAAUCCCAUAAAGUUGUUCUCAGUUCGGAUUGUAGUCUGCAACUCGACUACAUGAAGCUGGAAUCGCUAGUAAUCGUAGAUCAGCAUGCUACGGUGAAUACGUUCCCGGGUCU